AAGCUCGUAGUUGAAUUUCGGGGUUAGUAGGUUGGUCAUGCCUCUGGUAUGUACUGGUCUCACUGAUUCCUCCUUCCUGAUGAACCGUAAUGCCAUUAAUUUGGUGUUGCGGGGAAUUUGGACUGUUACUUUGAAAAAAUUAGAGUGUUUAAAGCAAGCUAACGCUUGAAUACAUUAGCAUGGAAUAAUGAAAUAGGACGUUCGAUCCUAUUUUGUUUGGUUUCUUAGGAUUGACGUAAUGAUUAAUAGGGAUAGUUGGG
Molecule: ribosomal RNA, 260 nt
Filed under: uncultured Glomus
Lineage: Eukaryota; Fungi; Glomeromycota; Glomeromycetes; Glomerales; Glomeraceae
Description: partial 18S ribosomal RNA
Rfam family: Eukaryotic small subunit ribosomal RNA
Source: RNAcentral